GAUGGUAUAUUUUAAUUGGUUGAAUUUUGGAAUCAUAAUCCGGCGGUUGUAGGUUCGAGUCCUACUAUCAUCA
RNAcentral lists this transfer RNA (73 nucleotides) under Friedmanniomyces endolithicus. RNAcentral describes it as "tRNA-Met". It matches the Rfam family "tRNA". Rfam says of the family: Transfer RNA (tRNA) molecules are approximately 80 nucleotides in length. Their secondary structure includes four short double-helical elements and three loops (D, anti-codon, and T loops). Further hydrogen bonds mediate the characteristic L-shaped molecular structure. tRNAs have two regions of fundamental functional importance: the anti-codon, which is responsible for specific mRNA codon recognition, and the 3' end, to which the tRNAs corresponding amino acid is attached (by aminoacyl-tRNA synthetases). tRNAs cope with the degeneracy of the genetic code in two manners: having more than one tRNA (with a specific anti-codon) for a particular amino acid; and 'wobble' base-pairing, i.e. permitting non-standard base-pairing at the 3rd anti-codon position. Lineage: Eukaryota; Fungi; Ascomycota; Dothideomycetes; Mycosphaerellales; Teratosphaeriaceae. The record is from RNAcentral.